UACGAAGGGGGCGAGCGUUGUUCGGAAUUAUUGGGCGUAAAGGGCGCGUAGGCGGACCUGUAAGUCGAUUGUGAAAUACCUGGGCUUAACCCGGGAACUGCAGUCGAUACUGCAAGUCUUGAAUGCUCGAGAGGAUGGUAGAAUUCCAGGUGUAGAGGUGAAAUUCGUAGAUAUCUGGAGGAAUACCGGAGGCGAAAGCGGCCAUCUGGCGAGACAUUGACGCUGAGGCGCGAAAGCGUGGGGAUCAAACAGG
RNAcentral lists this ribosomal RNA (253 nucleotides) under uncultured bacterium. RNAcentral's name for it is "partial 16S ribosomal RNA". It matches the Rfam family "Bacterial small subunit ribosomal RNA", at positions 524 to 776 of the family's 1533-position model. The record is from RNAcentral.